Molecule: ribosomal RNA, 849 nt
Filed under: uncultured archaeon
Lineage: Archaea
Description: bacterial SSU rRNA
Rfam family: Archaeal small subunit ribosomal RNA
Source: RNAcentral
CGGACCUGACUGCUAUCGGAUUGAUWYUAAGCCAUGCGAGUCAUUGUAGCAAUACAAGGCAGACGGCUCAGUAACGCGUAGUCAACCUAACCUAUGGACGGGAAUAACCUCGGGAAACUGAGAAUAAUGCCCGAUAGAACACUAUACCUGGAAUGGUUUGUGUUCCAAAUGAUUUAUCGCCGUAGGAUGGGACUGCGGCCUAUCAGUUUGUUGGUGAGGUAAUGGCCCACCAAGACUAUUACAGGUACGGGCUCUGAGAGGAGUAGCCCGGAGAUGGGUACUGAGACACGGACCCAGGCCCUAUGGGGCGCAGCAGGCGAGAAAACUUUGCAAUGUGCGAAAGCACGACAAGGUUAAUCCGAGUGGUUUCUGCUAAAGGAACCUUUUGUCGGUCCUAGAAACACCGAUGAAUAAGGGGUGGGCAAGUUCUGGUGUCAGCCGCCGCGGUAAAACCAGCACCUCAAGUGGUCAGGAUGAUUAUUGGGCCUAAAGCAUCCGUAGCCGGCGCUGUAAGUUUUCGGUUAAAUCUGUACGCUCAACGUACAGGCUGCCGGGAAUACUGCAGCGCUAGGGAGUGGGAGAGGUAGACGGUACUCGGUAGGAAGGGGUAAAAUCCUUUGAUCUAUUGAUGACCACCUGUGGCGAAGGCGGUCUACCAGAACACGUCCGACGGUGAGGGAUGAAAGCUGGGGGAGCAAACCGGAUUAGAUACCCGGGUAGUCCCAGCUGUAAACUAUGCAAACUCAGUGAUGCAUUGGCUUGUGGCCAAUGCAGUGCUGCAGGGAAGCCGUUAAGUUUGCCGCCUGGGAAGUACGUACGCAAGUAUGAAACUUAAAGGAAUUGGCGGGG